UCCUGUUUCCUCGCGCUCGCCCCCGGCUAGAAAAUGUGCUGCAGUGGCUGCUCCACUUGGUGAGGCUGUGGCCUCCUGUUGGCCACCUCUCUUUGCUGUCCAAGAUGGUGAGAUUCAUCUUGGACCUGGCAUCAAAAUGCGAGAGGCAGC
Long non-coding RNA from Ixodes scapularis (black-legged tick), 150 nucleotides. RefSeq lists it as uncharacterized. The transcript has 3 exons. NCBI's taxonomy places the organism in Eukaryota, Metazoa, Arthropoda, Arachnida, Ixodida, Ixodidae. The record is from RefSeq and is a predicted model, not a curated record.